This 534-nucleotide ribosomal RNA is filed under the name Escherichia coli. RNAcentral's name for it is "partial 23S ribosomal RNA". It matches the Rfam family "Bacterial large subunit ribosomal RNA", at positions 1350 to 1869 of the family's 2925-position model. Lineage: Bacteria; Pseudomonadati; Pseudomonadota; Gammaproteobacteria; Enterobacterales; Enterobacteriaceae. The record is from RNAcentral.
GGUUCCUGUCCAACGUUAAUCGGGGCAGGGUGAGUCGACCCCUAAGGCGAGGCCGAAAGGCGUAGUCGAUGGGAAACAGGUUAAUAUUCCUGUACUUGGUGUUACUGCGAAGGGGGGACGGAGAAGGCUAUGUUGGCCGGGCGACGGUUGUCCCGGUUUAAGCGUGUAGGCUGGUUUUCCAGGCAAAUCCGGAAAAUCAAGGCUGAGGCGUGAUGACGAGGCACUACGGUGCUGAAGCAACAAAUGCCCUGCUUCCAGGAAAAGCCUCUAAGCAUCAGGUAACAUCAAAUCGUACCCCAAACCGACACAGGUGGUCAGGUAGAGAAUACCAAGGCGCUUGAGAGAACUCGGGUGAAGGAACUAGGCAAAAUGGUGCCGUAACUUCGGGAGAAGGCACGCUGAUAUGUAGGUGAAGUCCCUCGCGGAUGGAGCUGAAAUCAGUCGAAGAUACCAGCUGGCUGCAACUGUUUAUUAAAAACACAGCACUGUGCAAACACGAAAGUGGACGUAUACGGUGUGACGCCUGCCCGGUGC